Molecule: ribosomal RNA, 459 nt
Filed under: uncultured bacterium
Lineage: Bacteria
Description: partial 16S ribosomal RNA
Rfam family: Bacterial small subunit ribosomal RNA
Source: RNAcentral
CCUACGGGCGGCUGCAGUGAGGAAUAUUGGUCAAUGGUCGGGCGACUGAACCAGCCAAGCCGCGUGAGGGAUGAAGGUACAGAGUAUCGUAAACCUCUUUUGUCAGGGAACAAAGGCGGGGACGCGUCCCCGGAUGAAUGUACCUUAAGGAAAAGCAUCGGCUAACUCCGUGCCAGCUGCCGCGGUAAUACGGGGGAUGCGAGCGUUAUCCGGAUUUAUUGGGUUUAAAGGGUGCGUAGGGGGUCUGUUAAGUCAGCGGUAAAAGCCCGGGGCUCAACCCCGGCCCGCCGUUGAGACUGGCAGUCUCGAGUUGGAGAGAGGUAUGCGGAAUGCGCGGUGUAGCGGUGAAAUGCAUAGAUAUCGCGAAGAACUCCGAUUGCGAAGGCAGCAUGCCGGCUCCACACUGACGCUGAGGCACGAAAGCGUGGGUAUCGAACAGGAUUAGAUACCCUAGUAGUC